This 388-nucleotide ribosomal RNA is filed under the name Salmonella enterica. Its description in RNAcentral is "partial 23S ribosomal RNA". It matches the Rfam family "Bacterial large subunit ribosomal RNA", at positions 1 to 428 of the family's 2925-position model. RNAcentral also lists the same sequence under 2 other names. The record is from RNAcentral. Lineage: Bacteria; Pseudomonadati; Pseudomonadota; Gammaproteobacteria; Enterobacterales; Enterobacteriaceae.
GGUUAAGCGACUAAGCGUACACGGUGGAUGCCCUGGCAGUCAGAGGCGAUGAAGGACGUGCUAAUCUGCGAUAAGCGCCGGUAAGGUGAUAUGAACCGUUAUAACCGGCGAUUUCCGAAUGGGGAAACCCAGUGUGACUCGUCACACUAUCAUUAACUGAAUCCAUAGGUUAAUGAGGCGAACCGGGGGAACUGAAACAUCUAAGUACCCCGAGGAAAAGAAAUCAACCGAGAUUCCCCCAGUAGCGGCGAGCGAACGGGGAGGAGCCCAGAGCCUGAAUCAGCAUGUGUGUUAGUGGAAGCGUCUGGAAAGGCGCGCGAUACAGGGUGACAGCCCCGUACACAAAAGCGCAUGUGCUGUGAGCUCGAUGAGUAGGGCGGGACACGUG